UCCAUCGAUCGGGAGCAUUUAAGAAUUAACCACCAAUGACACAUGUCUCAAAUUCUCAACUCUUGAGAAUAUAUGUCAUCAUCUUAUUAAUUCCUUGGACGAUUCAUGGACACAUACACAACAUGAAUGGAAAUAAUAACCCAAAUUUAUUCAUAAUAUUUUAAAGUCAAAUACAAAUUUAUGUCCUAAAAAGAAUACAUGU
This 202-nucleotide long non-coding RNA is filed under the name Ananas comosus (pineapple). RNAcentral's name for it is "long non-coding RNA (ACOM_LNC005462)". The record is from RNAcentral. Lineage: Eukaryota; Viridiplantae; Streptophyta; Magnoliopsida; Poales; Bromeliaceae.